GGUGGCGAUGGCGGAGGGGUUCCACGCGUACCCAUCCCGAACACGACCGUUAAGCCCUCCAGCGCCGAUGGUACUUGGACCGAAGGGUCCUGGGAGAGUAGGACGUUGCCA
Molecule: ribosomal RNA, 111 nt
Filed under: Paenibacillus sp. CECT 9249
Lineage: Bacteria; Bacillati; Bacillota; Bacilli; Caryophanales; Paenibacillaceae
Source: RNAcentral